This 489-nucleotide ribosomal RNA is filed under the name Streptomyces coelicoflavus. RNAcentral's name for it is "partial 23S ribosomal RNA". It matches the Rfam family "Bacterial large subunit ribosomal RNA", at positions 2443 to 2925 of the family's 2925-position model. The record is from RNAcentral. Lineage: Bacteria; Bacillati; Actinomycetota; Actinomycetes; Kitasatosporales; Streptomycetaceae.
CGUCGCUCAACGGAUAAAAGGUACCCCGGGGAUAACAGGCUGAUCUUCCCCAAGAGUCCAUAUCGACGGGAUGGUUUGGCACCUCGAUGUCGGCUCGUCGCAUCCUGGGGCUGGAGUCGGUCCCAAGGGUUGGGCUGUUCGCCCAUUAAAGCGGUACGCGAGCUGGGUUUAGAACGUCGUGAGACAGUUCGGUCCCUAUCCGCUGUGCGCGUAGGAGUCUUGAGAAGGGCUGUCCCUAGUACGAGAGGACCGGGACGGACGAACCUCUGGUGUGCCAGUUGUUCUGCCAAGGGCAUGGCUGGUUGGCUACGUUCGGGAGGGAUAACCGCUGAAAGCAUCUAAGCGGGAAGCCUGCUUCGAGAUGAGGACUCCCACCCCCUUGAGGGGUUAAGGCUCCCAGUAGAUGACUGGGUUGAUAGGCCGGAUCUGGAAGCACCGUGAGGUGUGGAGGUGACCGGUACUAAUAGGCCGAGGGCUUGUCCUCAGUUG